Molecule: ribosomal RNA, 425 nt
Filed under: uncultured bacterium
Lineage: Bacteria
Description: partial 16S ribosomal RNA
Rfam family: Bacterial small subunit ribosomal RNA
Source: RNAcentral
GUUAGGAAUAUUGGACAAUGGGCGCAAGCCUGAUCCAGCCAUGCCGCGUGAGUGAUGAAGGCCUUCGGGUUGUAAAGCUCUUUAGUCCACGAAUAUAAUGACUGUAGUGGAAGAAUAAGCCCCGGCUAACUUCGUGCCAGCAGCCGCGGUAAUACGAAGGGGGCGAGCGUUAUUCGGAAUCACUGGGCGUAAAGCGUGCGUAGGCUGUUUUGUAAGUCAGAAGUGAAAGCCCAGGGCUUAACCCUGGAAUUGCUUUUGAAACUACAAGACUCGAAUUCGGGAGAGGAUAGCGGAAUUGUCAGUGUAGCAGUGAAAUGCAUAGAGAUUGACAGGAACACCAGUGGCGCAAGCGGCUAUCUGGACCGAUAUUGACGCUGAGGCACGAAAGCGUGGGGAGCAAACAGGAUUAGAUACCCUGGUAGUCC